Molecule: long non-coding RNA, 3095 nt
Organism: Erpetoichthys calabaricus (reedfish)
Lineage: Eukaryota; Metazoa; Chordata; Cladistia; Polypteriformes; Polypteridae
Exons: 2
Source: RefSeq, a predicted model, not a curated record
AUCAUAUACAGUCAGUGUGUUGUCUAACCUGAAGUUUUGUUAAACUAAACAGCUUUUAUGCUCGUAAAAUGCUGGUUGUAUAGUAUCACCUGCCAAUUUGGCAUUUUAUUAUUGAUAAUCCUAUGGAAGAUUCAUGCACAGUUGAAAUCAUGCUUCAUAUACAAAACUAAAAAAAUUUAAGAGGCGGGAGGGUUAGUAGUUCUUUGUAAAUGAAUGGAAAAAUAUAUUUUCUGUCUUGCAAAUGAGCACCUUCCAUCUGUAACUACCUAUUUCAACUCACUCUCAGAGAGUGUGAGCACAUCGUAAUAAGAACUACUGUUUGAAUGGAGCAUCCAGUUAAAAACCCGGAUAUUAAAAUACCUAGCCUUUGAUUAAUUAACCUUGAUUAAGUGACUCAGCACUAAUGUAUAUUCAGCAAUGAUAUUUCAUGUAUUUUCAAUUUUGGCUUACUCCAAUUCAUGAUCUUGGAAAGCUAAAGGAAAUGUAAAGUUGUAUGAAAUAUCAAUCUAUCAUGUAUCAGAACAGGGUUUUUGUUAUUUUUUAAGUGCUUCAAUUGUGCAUUUUUUCAAGAUUCAAUUUAGAACAAAAUAUAAGCUUUGAGGGCUAUUGAACAGUUUUGUGAAGUAGUAUACAUUAUAUAGAGAAUGUUAUCCUUAUUAUUGAAACAAUUUAUGAAAUCUUACAAUGCCACUAUUCAUAAAGCAAAUAAGAAUAUUUCAUACUUUCCCACAUAAAUUCAACAAUAGUUGCAGGUUUCAGAACAUAAAUGAACUAUGUCACUAUAAAGAACAAUAUUCACGUAGUGACAGAAAUUCAGAAUUUCUUAAAUAUUAAAAAGUGUGAGAAGAAAUUUCAGUGCAUAUAGUCCCAUUAUAAGCUGAGAAUGCAUCUAAAGAAUAGUACAAAAUAUAAUCCAAAAUAAACCGCAAUACAAUCAUUAAAUUAUGGAUGUUUGUUUCAUUAAUUUGGUUGAAUCUGGUCAAAAAAUUAAAAUUAGUUAAGAAAAUUGCCAAGUAACACGGACAACCAUAGCCUUUUAUGUAUAAAGAGCAGUUGAUUAGCCUGGAUGUGAGACAUAAAUGUAACCUUCUCCAGCUGGGAUCUAGAGGACUACCGCUUAUCCCAGCAACACUGGAUGCAAGAAUCCUUUCACUCACACUAUGUCAGUUUAAAAUCUGUAGCUGAACAUACGUUUUUGGGAUGUGGGAGAUAAAAGGAAUAAUGUGAAAUAUCACAAAGGAAAAAGAGCACUGCUAGUCUAACUUAAAAAGUUCCAAAGUAUAUAAACUCUUCUUCAAUUAUAUUUAAUUAUGCUUAUUUUUUAAUUUCUUUCCAAAAUCUAGAAUAUUAUAAUGGCAUGCAACACAAUCAAACAAAUCAUAAUAACAUAACAAAUACAACCAAUUACUUAAAAAUUAAUAUAGAGAAAACAAAGGAAAACCAGAAAUACAAAGGGGAAAACUAAAGAAUUAUUAUAUUCACAACACCUUUUAUUUGUAGGGAUGCUAUCCAAAUUCAGGGGGAAAAAAGGGAAAAUUGAGAUAAAAUAAAAUAAAAGCUCAGUUGUGGUUCUUUGUUGUCUAAAAUGGAGAAAAGAGAAUUUUGUUUGAAAUAUUGUGAGUAUACUGCGGUGGUUGUUCAUGCUAUGAUUUAGUAUGAUAACAUACAGUGAACUCAGUGAGUUAUUUCGUAUUUUUAUAAGAAUUAAGUCCUCUAAUAUAAAAAGCCAUCUAAAAAUCAGUUAAAAAAGAAAAAAAGACAUAAGAAAUUCUUAAAAUGGAAAAAUAUAAAAAAUAUAUACAAUUUACUAUAAUAACAUUUAAUCUUUACCAAAAAGAGCAUCUUUAUUAAAGUAUGUACGUUGUAUGUUUUUCAUUAUUCUGCAUAUCAGAAAGAAAGCAAAACCUAUUGCUUGUUUGCUAAGAAAUCAGUUAUUCAAAAAUCAAACAUUUGAUCUUUUUUAUUACAAAGAAGUUCAUGCAUGGUGCAGCAUACAAAAAUAUAGAAAUUGUGACUACUAAAAACUUUGGCUUUUGAAUGUAUCAUAUUCAUAACAAAAUACUUGAAAAAUAAGAAAAAAAAGAAAGUUGAUCAUUUUUUAAAUACCCUUUCAGAGUCAUUGACAAUCUUUGUUCAGCGUACUGUUAGUCUUUUGUUUUAUAAAAUUUGUGCUUUGGAAUACAAGUUGAUAUUCUCCACUUCAGUAACCACCUCUGUGUGCAACUUUUGUUGUUCUUUCACUGCCCAUUCUGUAAAAUGGUUAAUGUCUUGUUAAUGUCUUUUGUUUAUUCAGACAUGGCCUAUGACAUUUUUACACAGUGUUGUACACCCUCUGAUGUAUGGUGAAUGAGAUAUCUGUGGUUUUAUGUACACUUCAUCAAAAACUGUUUGGAAUUCUUUCUUUUUAUGUAGCAAGAUUGCAUAAACUUUACCAAAAUAAUUUUAUUGACAUACAGUACAUUCAGUAAGUGGAGGCACAGGAAAAAAAAUAUACUUUUUAUGUUCAGAAUUUUAAAUUUGUCACUGUGUGACUAGGAGAUGUACAGCUGAUUGAAUUAAUUUAAAUUAUAUGGAGCUUUCACUUUAGUUAUAAAAUUAUAAAGGCUACUGGAUUUUGAUGUAUAUUCAAUAGCCAAUUAUUUUAUUGUACUUAAAAUUCCAAAAUGUGCAUGAUCAGUAUAAAAACAAAUUAUGUUGGAAUACUGUAUAUUGAAUGUGGAGGGCCCAGUUCUUUUAUAAAUUUCCAAAUAUGUUGUUAUAUUUCUCCUGGAUAUGAACAGUUAAUAUAUAUAUAUAUAUAUAUAUAUAUAUAUAUAUAUAUAUAUAUAUAUAUAUAUAUAUAUAUAUAUAUAUAUAUAUAAAGUAGUGCUAUCCUUGUUAAAGCCAUAUUUUAAAAGACAAAAUAUGAAUUUGGACUUUUGGUUUGGAGUUCUGCCACCUGCUGAGGACCAUACAGAACAUUACUGCUCUAAAAACCAACUGCUCUCAGGAGGAGUUAAGAGACAAUGAAUAUAUACAGUAUGAGACCUGUGAUCAUGUGAGCAAUGUUACUCUUGAAACAAAGCCAACUUGAAUAAAUAUAGCUGUGACAAUUA